GUAGGGAAUAUUGGGCAAUGGAUGCAAGUCUGACCCAGCCAUCCCGCGUGCCGGAAGAAGGCCCUCAGGGUUGUAAACGGCUUUUGACGGUGAAGAAUCGACAGGAUGCGUCCUGUUUUGACGGUAGCCGUUGAAUAAGCACCGGCUAACUCCGUGCCAGCAGCCGCGGUAAUACGGAGGGUGCGAGCGUUGUCCGGAUUUAUUGGGUUUAAAGGGUGCGUAGGCUGGAAGGUUAGUCAGCGGUGAAAAGCUGUCGCUUAACGAUAGUCUUGCCGCAGAUACUUCCUUUCUUGGAUGAGGAGGAGGCCACUGGAACGGAUGGUGUAGCGGUGAAAUGCAUAGAUAUCAUCCAGAACACCGAUUGCGAAGGCAGGUGGCUGUACCUUAAUCGACGCUGAUGCACGAAAGCAUGGGGAGCAAACAGGAUUAGAAACCCGGGUAGUCC
RNAcentral lists this ribosomal RNA (445 nucleotides) under uncultured bacterium. RNAcentral's name for it is "partial 16S ribosomal RNA". It matches the Rfam family "Bacterial small subunit ribosomal RNA", at positions 354 to 796 of the family's 1533-position model. The record is from RNAcentral.